Molecule: transfer RNA, 58 nt
Filed under: Physcomitrium patens
Lineage: Eukaryota; Viridiplantae; Streptophyta; Bryopsida; Funariales; Funariaceae
Description: Physcomitrella patens tRNA
Source: Rfam by way of RNAcentral
CAAAUUUUAGCUCAAUUGGUAGAACACAAGACUCUUAAUCUUGUAAUUUGAAAUUUGA